This 610-nucleotide long non-coding RNA is filed under the name Bos taurus (domestic cattle). RNAcentral describes it as "long non-coding RNA NONBTAT018654". Lineage: Eukaryota; Metazoa; Chordata; Mammalia; Artiodactyla; Bovidae. The record is from RNAcentral.
AGGCCUGCUGACCCCAGAGAGGAAGGUCAGCACUUAAGCAAACUGUGCAGAGUCCCUUCACCUGUCAAUACAAGGAUUCAAAGGGCCCUUAUAUCCAACUACAGAUGCAAGCGUUGAAAUCUUUUCAGUUGGCUUCCUCUUCUAAAUGUCAGUGACUUAACUGACAUGAAUGCAUAAUUAAUGACGUCAUCUGGGGGCAAAGUGGAGAACCAACUUGCACUCAUUUUUCUAAAAAAUUUUCUCAGUGUGCUUCUAAGAUGUUUACACCCCAGGGAUUAUGUAGAUCUUGAAAUAGCCUUAAAUCAGUGUCUCAUGAUAAGUGGGGACAUUGAUUAAACAGACUUUCCCCCAAUAGGUAGUUAAGUGGUAUGUGAGAGAGGGCAAGCAAGUCAUCCCAGAAAACUGAGUUCCUGAAGAGAGAUUAAUAAAGACGUAGAUAAAUGAAGAGGACAUUGUCCCUGGUGGCUGAUUGUGAACCAGGGAGCUUCAGUUGGCACAAUUCAGGGUUCAAGAAUGGAAAACUAAAGAAAUGAAAUAAAACGAAAGCUAAGGAAAUGGAGUGUAGAGAAAGGAGUUUUUAAGAGUGAAUCAUUUGCAGAAAGGGGCCUUC